GAUACAACUUGAAGGUGUUUUCAACCAUACAAAUGCAUUGUUUGAAGACUUAGCAUUGUGUACAGCAAGUGGUCAGGACUGUCUUUCUGAUGUUUCACACCUUUUCCAGAUGCUAUCAUUGCUUGAUGAAUUGAUAGCAGUGGGAGAAGUUAGCAAUUUCACCAUGAUGCCCAUCAAGAGCAAUAUGACCUUCUCUAUUGCCCAGCAUAUACUUUACCUUCUCUCACCAUGGAACAUGUCAGAAUCUUCUCCAUAUUCAAUGGGCAAUGUGAGUAAUAUCAUUAGUCUACUUGAGCAUUUAUAUGGCUACCACAAUAUCAGCAUCCAGAACAUCCUAGAAGAGCUCCAAGCCUUAAAUCUCACUGUUUCUGAUUUAGAACAAUUCAGACAUAUUGUAGAAGCUCCUUACCUACCUUUGCUACUUUCAAAGCUUAUGGAGCUUGUAAAUGUCUCGCACUGCAUGAACCCAACAUCGCAUAUACCUUCCACAAUGCCAGAAUGUACCAUGCAGGUUAUUGAGGGGUUAACUGGUUUCCUUCAGGCCAUACCCAUGUUGGAAGACUUCCACGAGGAUGCUUCAUCCUUUCUAAAUAUGGUGUUGGAUCAUGUAAUGGAGUUAAGUAACAUUUCCAACCUACAGAGUGAUCUGCUUGUGUCUGGGGACUCAAACUCGACUCGUGUCAACUCUGUAAUUAUGUACAUUCUCCAUAUGUUAAGGCCAGCAUCAAUUCAGAUGUUUCUAACUGAGGGACACUUUGCAGUCCUGUGUAAGAUCUUGCAAGAGUUUGGAGAUCGUUUGGCUCCUGAGCAAAAGAUUGAACUGGAAGGUGUUUUCAACCAUACAAAUGCAUUGUUUGAAGACUUAGCAUUGUGUACAGCAAGUGGUCAGGACUGUCUCUCUGAUGUUUCACACCUUUUCCAGAUGCUAUCUUUGCUUGAUGAAUUAAUAGCAGUGGGAGAAGUUAGCAAUUUCACCAUGAUGCCCAUCAAGAGCAAUAUGACCUUCUCUGUUGCCCAGCAUAUACUUUACCUUCUCUCACCCUGGAACAUGUCAGAAUCUUCUGCAUAUUCAAUGGACAAUGUCAGUGAGAUUAUUAGUCUUCUUGAGCAGUUAUAUGGCUCCCACAAUAUCAGCAUCCACAACAUUCUAGAAGAGCUCCAAGCCUUAAAUCUCACAGUUUCUUAUCUAGAACAAUUCGAACACCUGUCAGAAAAUUUGUCCCUGCCUCUGCUACUUUCAAAACUUACAGAGCUUGUAAAUAUUUCACAAUGCCUGAACUCUCAGCUUCAAUCCCAAGGAUCUAAUAUAAGUUUCGAGGUGCGAGAAUGUACCAUGCAGGUUAUUGAGGGGUUAACUGGUUUCCUUCAGGCCAUACCCAUGUUGGAAGACUUCCAUGAGGAUGCUUCAUCCUUUCUAAAUAUGGUGUUGGAUCAUGUAAUGGAGUUAAGUAACAUUGCUACCCUACAGAGUGAUCUGCCUGUGUCUGGGGACUCAAACUCGACUCAUGUCAACUCUGUAAUUAUGUACAUCCUCCAUAUGUUAAGGCCAGCAUCAAUUCAGAUGUUUCUAACUGAGGGACCCUUUGCAGUCCUGUGUAAGAUCUUGCAAGAGUUUGGAAAACGUUUGGCUCCUGAGCAACAGAUUCAAAUGGAAGGUGUUUUCAACCAUACAAAUGCUCUGUUUAAAGACUUAGCUUUGUGCACAGCAAGUGGUCAGGACUGUCUUUCUGAUGUUUCACACCUUUUCCAGAUGCUAUCUUUGCUUGAUGAAUUGUUAACAGUGGAAGAAUUUGCCAAUUUCACCAUGAUGCCCAUCAAAAGCAAUAUGACCUUCUCUGUUGCCCAUCAUAUACUUUACCUUCUCUCACCCUGGAACAUAUCAGAAUCUUCUGCAUAUUCAAUGGACAAUGUCAGUGAGAUUAUUAGUCUUCUUGAGCAGUUAUAUGGCUCCCACAAUAUCAGCAUCCACAACAUUCUAGAAGAGCUCGAAGCCUUAAAUCUCACAGUUUUUGAUCUAGAACAAUUUGAACACCUAUCAGAAAAUUUGUCCCUGCCUCUGCUACUUUCAAAACUCACAGAGCUUGUAAAUAUUUCACAAUGCCUAAACUCUCAAAUUCAAUCCCCAGGAUCUAAUAUAAGUUUUAUGGUGCCAGAAUGUACCAUGCAGGUUAUUGAGGGAUUAACUGGUUUCCUUCAGGCUAUACCUAUGUUGGAAGGCGUCCACGAAGAUGCUACAUCCUUUCUAAAUAGCCUGUUUGAUGAUAUAAUGAAGUUAACUAACAUUUCUAGCCUAGAGACUGAUCUGCCUGUGUCUUGGGGCUUGAACUAUACUCAUGUCAACUCUGUAGUUAUGAACAUCCUUCAUCUGUUGAAGCCAGAGUCCAUUCAAAUGCUCCAAACCGAGGGACAAUUUGCAGUGUUGGAUGCCAUCUUGCGAGAACUUGGAGAACUCUUUGCUCAUGAUCAACAAAUCUAUUUAGAAAGCUCUCUUAAGCACACACGUGACCUGGUUGAAGAUUUGGCAUUGUGUGCAGCUAAGGGUCAAGACUGUUUGUCUGGAGUGUCACAGCUUUUACAGAUGUUCUCUUUGCUUGAUGAAAUGAUACCAGAAGGAGAACAUGGCAAUUUUACUAUAAGUCCCAUUGAGAGCAAUAUAACUUUCUCGAUUGCUGGUCAUAUUCUUUCCUUACUUUUACCAUGGAAUGUAUCAGAAUCUUCUAUAUAUACAAGGGACAAUAUCAGUGAGAUCAUCCAUUUCCUUGAGCAGUUAAAUGGCUCACCCAAUAUCAGCAUCAACAUCAUUCAAGAAAUGCUCCAAGCCCUGAAUCUCACCAUUUCUGAUUUAGAACAAGCCAUUGAAUUAUCAGAACGUCCGUCCAUCUCUACUGCACUUUCAAAACUUAUGGACAUUUCACAAUGUUUGAACCCUCUGCUUCAGGACCCUACAUUACAUACAGGUUCCACAGUGCCAGGAUGUACCAUGCAGAUUAUUGAGGGGUUAUUUGGUUUCCUUCAGUUAACGCCAAUGUUUGAAGGCUUCCAGACCAAUCUUACAUCCACUUUAAAUAUGAUAUAUGAUGAAGCAACGGGGUUACAUAAUAUUUCUAGCCUACAGUCUGAUCCACUUGAAGUAACCGAAGAAAUCUUUGAAGUGAUUCUGGAAAGUAUCCGACUGAACCUUGGAAAUCUCAAUGCGGAAAAUGUGACUUUGAUCGAAAAGGAGCUUGAUACUCUGGAGACACUUUUAAAGAUGGUAUUUGAAGAAGAAUACCGCUACCCUUACUACAUGAUCAAUUCCACACUGAUGACACAGCAUUCCUAUGCUCAGAAGAUGUAUACACAAAUCACCUUGUGGUACCUACGUAACUUGGAGAAUGCCACAAGUGAUGGCAUGUUCAGACAGACCUUUUACCCACUUAUCCAUAUGGUGGAGAUGAUGGCCACAAUCAAUGAAGCUCAAGCUAAUUUCUCCACACUGGUGUCCAAUCAGAUAUAUACAUUAACUAACCAGGUUCAUUCUCCUCUAAACAGUGAAGAUCUGAAUCAAAUCAGUAAUGCAAUCACAUUUCUAAUGCAGGGCCAACUACAGUUGAUAAAGAUGAACCUUGACCUUCAAAUGACCUUUUAUAAUUCAUCAGGUUUGAUCUCUAACAAAACUUUGCCCACUGAUAUCGAAGCCGAGAUCCAAAACUACUUCAAUGUGGUGCAAAAUUGGAUCACAAACCCACAGCUAACUGUUGCAUUUAGCAAACUAUUUCAAUGGAACAGUAAUGUGACCGAUUUCACCGUUGCAGCUACGGACCUUGAAGAGCUUAUGGAGACCUUGGCUCCACUGCUUUCACCAGAGGAACAGGUCUAUAUCAACAAAUCCGAGCAAAUCUUACAGUCUCUGAACUUCGCCUUGCAGCUCGGCCAGACAGACGAUGGUCUCCAGAGUGAAAACUUCACGGAAGCUAUUAUGGAUUCGGUAAAAGUGAUCUUGCAGGAUAUGUUCAAUUACACUGACUCGACAUACACAAAUGAGAGUGUUGUUGAAGUUUUCUACAACUCACUUCAACUCCUGCUGAGCCCGAAUAUCAGCCAUGCUCAAGCUCAACAGUUCCUGAAAGAAGUUGCGGAUGAGAUGGAAAGCAUUAUUAGUGCCACUGCUCCAGAUUUGGCAGAAAUGUUCGCUCCUGGCAUCCAGAGCCUCAUAUCAUAUGUAAACACUAUGCUGAACCCAGGCGGACCUUACCAGUGGGAUGAAAUUGUUGUGGCUACGAUGGAAGAAAUCCUGAAUUCUCUGCCUUCGAAUAGCACCGCGAACACCUACAUAUCCUCCAUACUGAACAUCACAAAGUACAUUCUGAGCCCCAAACCAGGAAACACGAGUCUGUGGGGCAUCCUAGCAGACCUGCGUGUGGACAACCUGGAUACUGUUACAGAACAGCUUUCUGGCAUUCUGGAUAUUAUUCUUCCUUUACUCAAAGACAACGAGGGAAUGGGUUUGUCCCCUGAAUACGUUCACACUUUUGCUGAAUAUGUCCCAACCCUUGUCCAGAUGUUCUCAGGGACACCUGACCAACUCAUGUUUCAGAGGAUGGAAAACCUGAUGGCUGCAUUUCUGUCAAACCUGAUGGCCACGCCCGCACAGGACACUCUGCUUUCUGCUCUAGAAGUCCUCAGGAAUGUCACGGCAUCCCUGGCGCAAAGCGUGCAACUUCAAACCGAGCUCUUCUACAGCCUCUCAGAAGUUUUGUCAGAUGUUCUCACCGUUGUGGACUCCGGCAAUGUUUCUCUCGUCUCAGACACACUGCUGCAGGCUUUCCAGUCCACUGUGGAAGCCACCCUACAGGUUCCUAUGAGCAGUGAAAUGCUAAACUGCAGUGCAGUGGGGGAUCUUUGGGAGGAGGUCACUGACACAGUGGGGAUGAACAGCAGUGUCUUUACAGUCUGGUGUACCGAUCAUCUCCUUCCCCUCCUUAACAUUUAUUACACCUCCACUUAUCAACCAGCAGCCCACAAUGUCACAGUUAUGGAUCCUCAGUGGGUGAAUGCUACAGUUGCGGAGAUUGUCGGAUCUCUGGAGGCGCUUUACUCAGCCUCUCUUAAUGAAUCUCUAACUGUCCAACAUCUAACACAAGGCCUGGUGGAGAACCUUAACCUUUCUCUCUCGACACUGGGGAAUCAAUCGGAUUGGAGCGGUCUCCUGUCCCAGCUGCAGAGUCUUUCCGUUGUUCAAAUGGCUUUGGAGAGUGCGACACUGCAACUGAAUAACAAAGGCUGGGAUCCAUAUGUCCUAGUGGUGCACAAAGUCAUCAAUUACACCCUGGGGAGUCAGAAUGUAACAGCGAUCCCUGAGAUGGUCAUUCAAGCCCUGGAUGUGGUGCUCACGGCUAUGAAUUUCAGUAAUGAGCAAAUAGAUGGGUUUCUGAGUAGUGACAUAUUCGUCAUGCCUAAUAACUUGUCCAACGACCUGCUCAUGAAGGAGGUGAUAAGUAAAAUCAUCGAUAUGAGACUGUUUGGAAACUGGUCCAUAAUGUAUGACCUGAUAGGGCAACUGCUAUAUGUAGAGAACACAAGUGACAUCUUGAGUGCGGUGAGCGAACUGGUCAACUGGUAUAACUCUACUGAGGACACUGGAGUGUAUUUCGGCAUAGAGAUGCUCACGAAGUUGUAUGAUAUGCUAACAACGUUUGUGCCAGCUUCAUACCCUCUAUCGUGCCCCUUUGACCUCUUUGUCGGGCUUGCCAGCAAUGCUUUGCAUGCACUGCAGCAUAUCACUAGCACGACCAACCUCUUCACACCCAUCAACAGCUACCUCAAGCCAAUCCAAAUGCAACUUGCUCUGGGGGACAAUCUAAGGGAUCUCGUGAGAGCAACCCAAACCAGCAGGAGACCAAUGCAAAAUCUGACCAGAGAACCAGUGGAUGACUUUCUCGACCUCCUGGAGAUCAACUACCGCAACUUAUCUCAGAUCCUUUCCAUCCCGCUUAGCACGGAAGAAAUUUUGGAGACCAUGCAUGUUGUCUUUGCAAACCCAGAUCUGGGUAUCUUCCUCAAGGGUGUAUCCAGGAACAGUUACGGAAGUCCGGUCGAAGACCAAACUAUCGAUACAAUCCUCGGUACACUGGCCUACUUGACUGAUCCAAGCAAUGGCCAAACAUUUGUUGAGAUGUUGACUAUCAGUCAAGCCUGGAGUCCUAGUGAUAUACAGCUGGCGGAAAGCUUGGGUGGAUUUGUAGGAGUUGUAAAGAUGCUCUCCCAGGAGUCAUCUUUGAGUAUAGCUCAGAGGGUUGAGCAGAUGGCUAAACAAUUCACCUCUGCAGCAUCUUAUACCAUGGCACACCAAGGUAAUGGCAGUGAAAUCCUCACAGCCAUCAACAAGAUUAUGUCACACAAUUUGCAGCAGACACCGAUGAACCAAUCCAUCCUUCAAAACAUAAUCAGCUCUGUAGCCUUAAUGUCUGAUGCACAGAUUGACUUUGGAUCAUACAUGAUGGUGAUCAACCAAACUUCUGAUCUCAUUGCAUCCUAUGUACCUUUUGAGGAAAUGGUAUAUUUCAACAUUUCAGCAAGGAUCAUGAAAGCUCUCGCCUUGCUCGAGUCGAAUCCAACAGAUCUAGAGCAAGUGGUGAUGUCCAGUCACGAGCUCGCUGAUUCACUGGAUCUCACCUUUGCACUUUCUGGAAUGGCCACACUUUCAAACGGUUUAUCCAUUGAGGAGAUCGCAUACCCUUUUGUUCUAAACAGUGCCUUGUCGGCGGAAAUCUUGUUCAAUCUUUCCACUUUGAAUUAUACCUUCGCUAAUGAUUUGGACCGAAGAACAAUCUUGACACACAUGACAUCAAGUCUCCCGGCGCAAGUUCAAAACGACCUCCAUCCACUCACUUCGGCUCUCAUUUUUGCUCUUUCGGAUGUUUCUGAUACAACCCAAAUCCAACCUGCUUUCGAUCGAAUCUACCAAAACGUGACCAUGUUUAUUCUAAAACACCUUAACCUCACUGAAGAUUCCGUGUCAAUGGGAAUAUAUUCUGUCCUGUCGACUGUCUCAAAUGUGGUCCUCGCUAGCCUCAGUGAGGGUCUAAUGGGUAAUUCUUCCAUCCAGCUUCCAAAUGUGCUCAACUCUCUACGAGCAAUCAUAUCUACACUGUCUUUUGAACUACCUGCGAAUGAACAAAAAAACCUGAAUGGCGUUUUUAACUUUAUGGAGACAAUGGCCUUGACGCUGAACCACACAAUAACCACAAAGGACAUUGCGGGUGGAGUGGAUAUGAUUUCCCUCUCUGUCCAACACCUUCUGGGGAUGAUUCCGAACAACAACAUGGAGACCUCCAGUGGCAUUACGAGUGACCUGGAAAAUAUUGUCAAGAAGCUGCUACAGGUUCUGUCGUCAGGUCAAGACCCUCGAACUCAGAGUGCGAACGUGACCGACGAGAUCCUGAACACCAUUCAGAACUUGCUCACCGUGGCCAACAGCAGCUCAGAGAUAGAUCUGGCUACCGCAAUCCUGGGGGCCUUUGAGAUGAACCUUGGGUCUCUCAUGGAGACCAACGACACCAACUGGGCUCAGACAUUGCAAACGGCGUUUUUAUCCAUCUCCAACCUCCUUCUGCUGACCUUCAGUUCGGUCCAUUCAACAGAACGAUCUUCGAAAGUUUGGCCAACGAGCCUCCAGAAAAUCUGAAUAUCCUGCUCCAGACAAUAAGCACAUUGUCUGAACUUUUCUCAACCAGCUGGACGAACGACAGCUUCGGAGCUCUACUGAAUGAAAUACAGAUAAAGGUAUGCCUUAUGGAGAACCUCGAGUCUGUUCAGCUGUUUAGC
Silurus meridionalis is the source of this 7806-nucleotide RNA transcript. It is a transcript of the gene named glucosylceramide transporter ABCA12-like, with no coding region annotated. The transcript is spliced from 12 exons. NCBI's taxonomy places the organism in Eukaryota, Metazoa, Chordata, Actinopteri, Siluriformes, Siluridae. The record is from RefSeq and is a predicted model, not a curated record.